Molecule: ribosomal RNA, 253 nt
Filed under: uncultured bacterium
Lineage: Bacteria
Description: partial 16S ribosomal RNA
Rfam family: Bacterial small subunit ribosomal RNA
Source: RNAcentral
UACAGAGGGUGCGAGCGUUGUUCGGAAUUAUUGGGCGUAAAGGGCGCGUAGGCGGUGCCACAAGUCACUUGUGAAAUCCCCAGGCUUAACCUGGGGCCUGCAGGCGAAACUGUGGUGCUGGAGUGUGGGAGAGGUGCGUGGAAUUCCCGGUGUAGCGGUGAAAUGCGUAGAUAUCGAGAGGAACACCUGCGGCGAAGGCGGGUUGCUGGGCUGACACUGACGCUGAUGCGCGAAAGCCAGGGGAGCGAACGGG